Molecule: ribosomal RNA, 451 nt
Filed under: uncultured bacterium
Lineage: Bacteria
Description: partial 16S ribosomal RNA
Rfam family: Bacterial small subunit ribosomal RNA
Source: RNAcentral
GUGGGGAAUAUUGCGCAAUGGGGGAAACCCUGACGCAGCGACGCCGUGUGAGGGAAGAAGGCUUUCGGGUCGUAAACCUCUGUCAGAAAGGAAGAACCUCCCAAGUCCGAAUAGGGCUUGGGACUGACGGUACUUUCAAAGGAAGCACCGGCUAACUCCGUGCCAGCAGCCGCGGUAAUACGGAGGGUGCAAGCGUUAAUCGGAAUCACUGGGCGUAAAGCGCGCGUAGGCCGCUUUGUAAGUCGGACGUGUAAGCCCUCGGCUCAACCGGGGAACUGCGUUCGAUACUGCGAGGCUUGAGUCCUGGAGAGGGUGGCGGAAUUCCGGGUGUAGGAGUGAAAUCCGUAGAUAUCCGGAGGAACACCGGUGGCGAAGGCGGCCACCUGGACAGGUACUGACGCUGAGGCGCGAAAGCGUGGGGAGCAAACAGGAUUAGAAACCCCUGUAGUCC